GAUGAACGCUGGCGGCAUGCCUAAGACAUGCAAGUCGAACGAAGCGGUUCGAUGAUAAUUUUGUGCUUGCACGAGAUUUGAUUCGAGUUUCCGCUUAGUGGCAUACGGGUGAGUAAUGCAUAGGUAACCUGCCUUAGAGACUGGGAUAGCAAUUAGAAAUGGUUGGUAAUACCGGAUAAAACAUAAUUAGAUAACUAUUUAUGUUAAAAGGAGCGUUUGCUUCACUCUAAGAUGGGCCUAUGUUGUAUUAGCUAGUUGGUGGGGUAAUGGCCUACCAAGGCGACGAUGCAUAUCCGGGCUGAGAGGCUGAACGGACACACUGGGACUGAGACACGGCCCAGACUCCUACGGGAGGCAGCAGUUAGGAAUAUUCGACAAUGGGGGAAACCCUGAUCGAGCGAUGCCGCGUGAACGAUGACGGUCGAAAGAUUGUAAAGUUCUGUUAUAGGGGACGAACAAUUGCCAUAGGAAAUGAUGGUAAUCUGACGGUACCCUAUGAGAAAGCCCCGGCUAACUACGUG
This 521-nucleotide ribosomal RNA is filed under the name uncultured bacterium. RNAcentral's name for it is "bacterial SSU rRNA". It matches the Rfam family "Bacterial small subunit ribosomal RNA", at positions 28 to 507 of the family's 1533-position model. The record is from RNAcentral.